UACGUAGGAAGCAAGCGUUGUCCGGAAUCACUGGGCGUAAAGCGCGUGUAGGCGGUAUGGCAAGUCUGCUGUGAAAGCUCUCGGCUUAACCGGGAGAGGUCGGUGGAAACUGCCACACUGGAGGACGGUAGAGGGGGGUGGAAUUCCCGGUGUAGUGGUGAAAUGCGUAGAGAUCGGGAGGAACACCUGUGGCGAAAGCGGCGCACUGGACCACAACUGACGCUGAGGCGCGAAAGCUAGGGGAGCAAACAGG
This 253-nucleotide ribosomal RNA is filed under the name uncultured bacterium. RNAcentral's name for it is "partial 16S ribosomal RNA". It matches the Rfam family "Bacterial small subunit ribosomal RNA", at positions 524 to 776 of the family's 1533-position model. The record is from RNAcentral.